Molecule: ribosomal RNA, 497 nt
Filed under: uncultured bacterium
Lineage: Bacteria
Description: partial 16S ribosomal RNA
Rfam family: Bacterial small subunit ribosomal RNA
Source: RNAcentral
GAUGAACGCUGGCGGCGUGCCUAAUACAUGCAAGUCGAGCGAACAGACGAGGAGCUUGCUCCUCUGACGUUAGCGGCGGACGGGUGAGUAACACGUGGAUAACCUACCUAUAAGACUGGGAUAACUUCGGGAAACCGGAGCUAAUACCGGAUAAUAUAUUGAACCGCAUGGUUCAAUAGUGAAAGACGGUUUUGCUGUCACUUAUAGAUGGAUCCGCGCCGCAUUAGCUAGUUGGUAAGGUAACGGCUUACCAAGGCAACGAGGCGUAGCCGAACUGAGAGGGUGGUCGGCCACACUAGAACGGAGACAGGGACCAGACUACUGCGGGAGGCAGCAGUAGGGAAUCUGCCGCAAUGGGCGAAAGCCUGACGGAGCAACGCCGCGUGAGUGAUGAAGGUCUUCGGAUCGUAAAACUCUGUUAUUAGGGAAGAACAAAUGUGUAAGUAACUAUGCACGUCUUGACGGUACCGAAUCAGAAAGCCACGGCUAACUACGUG